AGCUGCAUGGUAAAACAAAGAUGGCGCCUACAUCCAGUCCCAUCUGGUAGUAAACGACUUAUCAAGCAUGCGCAGACUUGUCCCCUUGCCAGGGGAGCCGUAGGAUAAUGAGUUGAUCUGGCGCCCACCUGUGGUGAACAAAGGUACUGUGCAUGCACUUGCAUGCACGGGUUUUGCACCUGGAGCCAGUUGGCCAGGACGUUAAUAUGCUAAUGAGGGAUUCAUGCUCCGCCAAUCCCUGAAGGACAAUUAGCAUAGCCUCAGCCUGCUGGAAUCAUUUGUUUCUAUCAAAGAGGGGGGAAAACAAGAAAAUGGAAUUCACAGCUACUGUGUCUGGGUACUUUCCACUGUGCAUUCGGAAGCGGGUUCCAAGCCAGUAGCCCUGCAGAGAGAGGAGAGCACUCCAUCGGACACAUUCCUUGUAAGGAACUGGUUUUAUUUAACGGUGUUGAACAGCUGGAGAGCACACAGCUAACAACCACUUGAGCAUGAAAGUGUCUGAUGACUGCAAAUAAAAUAUGGCAUGCGAUGAGGUCCAGAGGUAAUAACAAUAUACAAUAGGAGAAAGGUGCAGAGACAGGCUGAAACCUGUGAGCUGGAACAAAUGCCGAAGGAUCCCUGCCUCUGGCAUGGGCUUCCUAGCCAGAAACCAUGUAAAUCAUUAGAGGAGUCGGCUGCAGUCACCUCAGUAUAUGUGACUGGAAAAUGACAAAGUCAGGUGUUGGGAACGAAGACGAAGAAAACUCCAAGCAGAGAAAAUGUCAGCUUUCACAGCAGUUUUCAACAGCGUUUAAGUAUCAUGUCAGUAAAAAUAUUUAUGAAUUGAAAUCAUCCUCUGGUCAGAGGAUUUCUUCCCUUGCAGAAGAGAAACAAGCCCAGGAUCAAAGCUGGUUGAAAAGCAACGCUGAAUUUUAAAUGUAACUGCAGGCUGAGCUGUGAUUUUAAAUAACUGCAUGUGUUUUAAAGGAUCACUUGCUCUGCUCUCUCUUGACAUGUUUUUUCCCCCUACAGGUGACUGUCAAAUGUAUUCUGUGAUGAAAAUAAAAACUGCAUCACUCGAAGGUGUUUUGCAUCUUCUGAGCUGCAUCUCAUCAUCUACUGAGAAAUGAAAGAUUUUCUCUCCUUUUUUUAAUGUAAAAGGACAACAUACAAAAGUUAAAUUUGAAGAAGACCUUCCCCAACCAAACAGCCAUUUAAGAUAAAAUAAAUGUAUACGCAUACUGAGGAGACUUCUUGUUCAGAAAAACAGAGAGGUUGAUGACUCAAUAAAGAUGUUAACAAGUAGACUGUUUAGUGAUCAAGAAUCAUGGAAAUAUUAAAGU
Molecule: non-coding RNA, 1322 nt
Organism: Rattus norvegicus (Norway rat)
Lineage: Eukaryota; Metazoa; Chordata; Mammalia; Rodentia; Muridae
Source: RefSeq, a predicted model, not a curated record